GGGGCAGUAGUCUAGCUUGGUAUGAUACUCGGCUGGGGGCCGAGUGGUCGAGUGUUCGAAUCAUUCCUGCCCCACCA
This 77-nucleotide transfer RNA is filed under the name Promethearchaeum syntrophicum. Its description in RNAcentral is "tRNA-Pro (GGG) (tRNA-Pro-GGG-1-1)". It matches the Rfam family "tRNA". From Rfam's summary of the family: Transfer RNA (tRNA) molecules are approximately 80 nucleotides in length. Their secondary structure includes four short double-helical elements and three loops (D, anti-codon, and T loops). The record is from RNAcentral. Lineage: Archaea; Promethearchaeati; Promethearchaeota; Promethearchaeia; Promethearchaeales; Promethearchaeaceae.